GAUGAAGAACGCAGCGAAAUGCGAUACUUGGUGUGAAUUGCAGAAUCCCGUGAACCAUCGAGUCUUUGAACGCAAGUUGCGCCUCAAGCCAUUAGGUUGAGGGCACGACUGCCUGGGCGUCACAUAUCGUUGCCUGAUGCCAGUUUCCUCGUGAUGGGUGACUGUGCAGGGCGAAUGAUGGCUUCCCGUGAGCAUUGUUGCCUCAUGGUUGGUUGAAAAUUGAGUCCUUGGUAGGGAGCGCCGUGAUAGAUGGUGGUUGAGUGACGAACGAGACCCAAUCAUGUGAGACCCCUACCGAAUUUGGCCUUCAUGACCCACAUGCGUCUUUGGAACGCUCAUGACGAGACCUCAGGUCAGGCGGGGCUACCCGCUGAGUUUAAGCAUAUCAAUAAGCGGAGGA
This 400-nucleotide unclassified non-coding RNA is filed under the name soil metagenome. RNAcentral describes it as "partial contains 5.8S ribosomal RNA, internal transcribed spacer 2, and large subunit ribosomal RNA". The stretch from base 1 to 122 matches the Rfam family "5.8S ribosomal RNA", at positions 35 to 154 of the family's 154-position model. The record is from RNAcentral.